ACUUGGGUGGCACAGUGGCUUAGUGGGUGGUAUUGCUACCUCACAACGCCAGGGUCCCCAGUUUGAUUCUGAGCUUGAGUU
Non-coding RNA from Pangasius djambal, 81 nucleotides. Lineage: Eukaryota; Metazoa; Chordata; Actinopteri; Siluriformes; Pangasiidae. The record is from the annotation of a GenBank genome assembly.